RNAcentral lists this transfer RNA (88 nucleotides) under Danio rerio (zebrafish). It matches the Rfam family "tRNA". From Rfam's summary of the family: Transfer RNA (tRNA) molecules are approximately 80 nucleotides in length. Their secondary structure includes four short double-helical elements and three loops (D, anti-codon, and T loops). Lineage: Eukaryota; Metazoa; Chordata; Actinopteri; Cypriniformes; Danionidae. The record is from Rfam by way of RNAcentral.
GGCUCUGUGGCGCAAUGGAUAGCGCAUUGGACUUCUAGGCUGUGAGCUGAGCCAUUCAAAGGUUGUGGGUUUAGUCUCACCAGAGUCG